GAUGAACGCUGGCGGCGUGCCUAAUACAUGCAAGUCGAGCGAACGGACGAGAAGCUUGCUUCUCUGAUGUUAGCGGCGGACGGGUGAGUAACACGUGGAUAACCUACCUAUAAGACUGGGAUAACUUCGGGAAACCGGAGCUAAUACCGGAUGAUAUUUUGAACCGCAUGGUUCAAAAGUGAAAGACGUUCUUGCUGUCACUUAUAGAUGGAUCCGCGCUGCAUUAGCUAGUUGGUAAGGUAACGGCUUACCAAGGCAACGAUGCAUAGCCGACCUGAGAGGGUGAUCGGCCACACUGGAACUGAGACACGGUCCAGACUCCUACGGGAGGCAGAAGUAGGGAAUAUUCCGCAAUGGGCGAAAGCCUGACGGAGCAACGACAAGUGAGUGAUGAAGGUCUUCGGAUAGUAAAACUCUGUUAUUAGGGAAGAACAUAUGUGUAAGUAACUGUGCACAUCUUGACGGUACAUAAUCAGAAAGCCACGGCUAACUACGUG
RNAcentral lists this ribosomal RNA (497 nucleotides) under uncultured bacterium. RNAcentral describes it as "partial 16S ribosomal RNA". It matches the Rfam family "Bacterial small subunit ribosomal RNA", at positions 28 to 507 of the family's 1533-position model. The record is from RNAcentral.